This 253-nucleotide ribosomal RNA is filed under the name uncultured bacterium. Its description in RNAcentral is "partial 16S ribosomal RNA". It matches the Rfam family "Bacterial small subunit ribosomal RNA", at positions 524 to 776 of the family's 1533-position model. The record is from RNAcentral.
UACGAAGGGGGCUAGCGUUGCUCGGAAUUACUGGGCGUAAAGGGCGCGUAGGCGGAUAGUUUAGUCAGAGGUAAAAGCCCAGGGCUCAACCUUGGAACUGCCUUUGAUACUGGCUAUCUUGAGUUCGGGAGAGGUGAGUGGAAUGCCGAGUGUAGAGGUGAAAUUCGUAGAUAUUCGCAAGAACACCAGUGGCGAAGGCGGCUCACUGGCCCGAUACUGACGCUGAGGCACGAAAGCGUGGGGAGCAAACAGG